RNAcentral lists this small RNA (990 nucleotides) under Histoplasma capsulatum. RNAcentral describes it as "hypothetical RNA". Lineage: Eukaryota; Fungi; Ascomycota; Eurotiomycetes; Onygenales; Ajellomycetaceae. The record is from RNAcentral.
GCACAACACAGAACAAAUGUGCUUCAUCAGUUUAUUCAGCUUUUCUUCCAAACGGGUAUUCGUCAGAGAUUUGAGCCUGGAAUAAAUGAUGUUCUGAAUGAUGGCUCAGAUGAGCCUCUCGUGACAUUGCAGAGUGCUCACUUCAGUCGCAAUACAUGAUACAUGAGACCAAGAACGCACCCUUCGACCUCCUGAGUAGUGAAACAGCUAGGUGUUGGGAGAGAAUUACCUGCCAGCAUGAGCGGUCGUCCACUUCCCCCCCGGGGCUCAACUAAUAGCUUAUGAAAGUGUGGGUGUUUGCUGUACAGGGCAUUACGACGAGAGCAGCACGUGCAUGUACAUACAAUAUUCUGACGACUGAUGUGCUAAACCGGGUCCAUGUACUCAUAAUAGUGCCUGCUAGGACCCCGCUGCAGUUCUAUUGCGUCGUGUUGGGGGAAAGGGGGUUGGCACGGGUGUUACUCGCUCCAGUAAACGUUUCCGGCACAGCUUCUCGGAUCCAUCGUGAGCUUCAUCGCACCGUCUGUGCGUUUUACCAGCUCUUGACAUGAUGGGGUAUCCAUUUAUGCAUAUAUAUAUUCAAUAGAUUUAUUUUCCGUCGUCACUGGUGCAGAUCUUCGAAGCGAAGUUGGAGGGGGGGAAAAGAAAUAGAAAAGAGAAAGCACAGGAAUAUAGGGUGAAGGCCAUGCCGGGAAAAGAAGCUCAAUAUAUACUCGUGAAUAUAUACAACCAUAUGCCUGCUACAGUAAACUGUAUAUAUAUAUCAUAAAAAGGGACCGAUCAGUUUAAGAAAAUAAGAUUCAUAAUGACUCAAGGAUGUUACAUAAAAUAUAUAUAACUAGUUAGUUAAGAUAGUUCCGAGGAAAAUGGGGUUAUGUGUGGUAUUUUUGCAACGCCUCUCCACAUAUAUCCUAUAUUAUCUAUUGUAACCAGAUUCAACGCCUGUGUAUGUUAUGAUGACGAUUAUGAUGAUGGUGGAAAAUGAAAGGG